Molecule: ribosomal RNA, 497 nt
Filed under: uncultured bacterium
Lineage: Bacteria
Description: partial 16S ribosomal RNA
Rfam family: Bacterial small subunit ribosomal RNA
Source: RNAcentral
GAUGAACGCUGGCGGCGUGCCUAAUACAUGCAAGUCGAGCGAACAGACGAGGAGCUUGCUCCUCUGACGUUAGCGGCGGACGGGUGAGUAACACGUGGAUAACCUACCUAUAAGACUGGGAUAACUUCGGGAAACCGGAGCUAAUACCGGAUAAUAUAUUGAACCGCAUGGUUCAAUAGUGAAAGACGGUUUUGCUGUCACUUAUAGAUGGAUCCGCGCCGCAUUAGCUAGUUGGUAAGGUAACGGCUUACCAAGGCAACGAUGCGUAGCCGACCUGAGAGGGUGAUCGGCCACACUGGAACUGAGACACGGUCCAGACUCCUACGGGAGGCAGCAGUAGGGAAUCUUCCGCAAUGGGCGAAAGCCUGACGGAGCAACGCCGCGUGAGUGAUGAAGAUCUUCGGGUCGUAAAACUCUGUUAUUAGGGAAGAACAGAUGUGUAAGUAACUAUGCACGUCUUGACGGUACCUAAUCAGAAAGCCACGGCUAACUACGUG